RNAcentral lists this ribosomal RNA (253 nucleotides) under uncultured bacterium. RNAcentral describes it as "partial 16S ribosomal RNA". It matches the Rfam family "Bacterial small subunit ribosomal RNA", at positions 524 to 776 of the family's 1533-position model. The record is from RNAcentral.
UACGUAGGCAGCGAGCGUUGUUCGGAAUUACUGGGCGUAAAGAGUGUGUAGGCGGUGUUCCCAGUCUGUUGUGAAAUCUCCCGGCUUAACUGGGAGGGUGCAGCGGAAACUAGAAUGCUAGAGGGUGGGAGAGGUAAGCGGAAUUCCUGGUGUAGCGGUGAAAUGCGUAGAGACCCGGAGGAACACCAGUGGCGAAGGCGGCUUCCUGGUCUGCGACUGACGCUGUGGCGCGAAAGCUAGGGGAGCGAACGGG